This 472-nucleotide ribosomal RNA is filed under the name uncultured bacterium. RNAcentral describes it as "bacterial SSU rRNA". It matches the Rfam family "Bacterial small subunit ribosomal RNA", at positions 355 to 825 of the family's 1533-position model. The record is from RNAcentral.
UGGGGAAUUUUGGACAAUGGGCGCAAGCCUGAUCCAGCCAUACCGCGUGAGUGAAGAAGGCCUUCGGGUUGUAAAGCUCUUUCAGACGGAAAGAGACGGUUACGGCUAAUACCCGUGACUAAUGACGGUACCGUAAGAAGAAGCACCGGCUAACUACGUGCCAGCAGCCGCGGUAAUACGUAGGGUGCGAGCGUUAAUCGGAAUUACUGGGCGUAAAGCGUGCGCAGGCGGUUUGGUAAGACAGAUGUGAAAUCCCCGGGCUUAACCUGGGAACUGCAUUUGUGACUGCCAGACUAGAGUGUAGCAGAGGGGGGUAGAAUUCCACGUGUAGCAGUGAAAUGCGUAGAGAUUUGGAGGAAUACCAGUGGCGAAGGCGGCCCCCUGGCACAACACUGACGCUCAGGUGCGAAAGCGUGGGGAGCAAACAGGAUUAGAUACCCAAGUAGUCCCUGAGCGGGCUGGCAAGGCGCAU